This 497-nucleotide ribosomal RNA is filed under the name uncultured bacterium. Its description in RNAcentral is "partial 16S ribosomal RNA". It matches the Rfam family "Bacterial small subunit ribosomal RNA", at positions 28 to 507 of the family's 1533-position model. The record is from RNAcentral.
GAUGAACGCUGGCGGCGUGCCUAAUACAUGCAAGUCGAGCGAACAGACGAGGAGCUUGCUCCUCUGACGUUAGCGGCGGACGGGUGAGUAACACGUGGAUAACCUACCUAUAAGACUGGGAUAACUUCGGGAAACCGGAGCUAAUACCGGAUAAUAUAUUGAACCGCAUGGUUCAAUAGUGAAAGACGGUUUUGCUGUCACUUAUAGAUGGAUCCGCGCCGCAUUAGCUAGUUGGUAAGGUAACGGCUUACCAAGGCAACGAUGCGUAGCCGACCUGAGAGGGUGAUCGGCCACACUGGAACUGAGACACGGUCCAGACUCCUACGGGAGGCAGCAGUAGGGAAUCUUCCGCAAUGGGCGAAAGCUUGACGGAGCAACGCCGCGUGAGUGAUGAAGGUCUUCGGAUCGUAAAACUCUGUUACUAGGGAAGAACAAAUGUGUAAGUAACUAUGCACGUCUUGACGGUACCUAAUCAGAAAGCCACGGCUAACUACGUG